RNAcentral lists this unclassified non-coding RNA (253 nucleotides) under Hevea brasiliensis (rubber tree). The record is from RNAcentral. Lineage: Eukaryota; Viridiplantae; Streptophyta; Magnoliopsida; Malpighiales; Euphorbiaceae.
GUCUUAUACUGCUAUCUCAUUUCAGGCGACUUUUCCCCCUCUUCUUCCGGUGGAUGCAUGCAGAUGAUGACAGAACUGUUCUACUGGUUCUUGAACGGAUCAAGACAAUUGUAAAGUUGACAUGGAUAAGGAAUUCUCCAUACAUUGAAAGGUUGGUGGAUGAACUUGUUAGUCUAUUCAAGGAAGCAGCGCUGAAAAUUGCACGUGAAGAAAUCAGAAAACUUGUUCUUCAGACUAUAAUUUUGAUCCAACA